CUACGGGUGGCUGCAGUGGGGAAUAUUGGACAAUGGGGGAAACCCUGAUCCAGCAAUGCCGCGUGUGUGAAGAAGGCCUGCGGGUUGUAAAGCACUUUCGGUUGGGAGGACUGCUUCUAGCACUAAUAUUGUUGGAAGUUGACGUUACCUUCAGAAGAAGCACCGGCUAAAUCCGUGCCAGCAGCCGCGGUAAUACGGAGGGUGCAAGCGUUAAUCGGAAUUACUGGGCGUAAAGCGCGCGUAGGCGGCUAGAUCAGUCGGGUGUGAAAGCCCCGGGCUUAACCUGGGAACUGCAUCCGAUACUGUCUAGCUUGAGUACAGGAGAGGAGAGUGGAAUUCCACAUGUAGCGGUGAAAUGCGUAGAUAUGUGGAGGAACACCAAUGGCGAAGGCAGCUCUCUGGCCUGAUACUGACGCUGAGGUGCGAAAGCGUGGGGAGCGAACAGGAUUAGAUACCCGGUAGUC
RNAcentral lists this ribosomal RNA (464 nucleotides) under uncultured bacterium. Its description in RNAcentral is "partial 16S ribosomal RNA". It matches the Rfam family "Bacterial small subunit ribosomal RNA", at positions 339 to 795 of the family's 1533-position model. The record is from RNAcentral.